Molecule: long non-coding RNA, 1043 nt
Organism: Theobroma umbraticum
Lineage: Eukaryota; Viridiplantae; Streptophyta; Magnoliopsida; Malvales; Malvaceae
Source: RefSeq, a predicted model, not a curated record
CUCCUCCUCACCAAAACCCACAAUAUGCUUAAUUUCUAAUACAUUUCCUGCUCCAGGGAUUCCGACUUUCUAGCUAGGUGGGCUAAAAGAGCAACAAGGAAUGAGCAGUUCUUCGUUUGAAUCCCGGACAAAUUUUCUGCAUUGAAGACACGAGCAUAUCUCCAACGUUUUGCUUUUGCUCCUAUUUCCUACUUAUCAUCCAUCGGAAAAUCAUAAUGUUCAACGAUGUACUGAAUAGUCUCUAAAGCUACCCUGGUCAUUGGAUGAGCAACAAUUUCAAACAUCUGUAUCAACGCAGCGCUUUUAAGCACAGUACAUCAUCAGAAUGUAUGCAUGCAUUAAUGUAAAUGCAAGGUGUUGCUCGAAGAGCAUUCUGCAGAGUCCCUUAUCAGUAUUAUCCAACUCCUCCAAGGCUCUUAAAAAUGGAAUAACACUGUAUUUUAGUACUUUCUUAUUCUGAAGUAAGGUCCUGAUUCCCUUUAAGCAGGUUGGAUCUGGAACAAUACGUACAGCUAUUGCCUUUCGCUAAAAGUUUUGAUACUGAUUGUUUAUAUACUCCCAAGCUUUCAGAUAGUUUUGGUCUGUUUUAGUUAUCAUCCUUAGUACAGAAGCCGCAAUGUAACAAACAGAUGAUUCCAGUUCUACCUGCUCGACAUCAGAUGUGUCCAUAGGAGUUGCUGCAGUUGACCCUCUGAUGUUAUUCCCCAAGCACACUGAACCAACACUCCUACAAGGUAUACAGUCACAUGGGAAGUCAGGCAGGUUUCAGCUCUAACAGUUAAACUCUUGUCUAGAUUCCGCUGUGAUAGUAUCCCAUGGUGUCUUGAUGGGCUCAUUGGAUGCUGAAGGUUUAUCCAUAACUGGCGAAUAUGUGAAAGUGCCAAUAAGAACAAUGCUGGUCUACUCUUCUGUUGGGAGCACGCCGUCUGUUCAAAAAAUAAAACAGGUUACUCUUAACUCAAACUCUAACUAACUAAUAGUAUUAUAAUACAACUCUAAUAAGAUAUUGUAAUCUAACUAAGUAAUAUUGUUGUAUUACAACU